UACGUAGGGCGCAAGCGUUAUCCGGAAUUAUUGGGCGUAAAGAGCUCGUAGGCGGUGUGUCGCGUCGGCCGUGAAAACCUGGGGCUUAACUCUGGGCGUGCGGUCGAUACGGGCAUCACUGGAGUUCGGCAGGGGAGACUGGAAUUCCUGGUGUAGCGGUGAAAUGCGUAGAGAUCGUAAGGAAGACCAGUGGCGAAGGCGGGUCUCUGGACAGUUCCUGACACUGAGGCACGAAGGCCAGGGGAGCAAACGGG
Molecule: ribosomal RNA, 254 nt
Filed under: uncultured bacterium
Lineage: Bacteria
Description: partial 16S ribosomal RNA
Rfam family: Bacterial small subunit ribosomal RNA
Source: RNAcentral